AGAGCCUGAUGAACUAAACGAUGCAAGU
This 28-nucleotide non-coding RNA is filed under the name Homo sapiens (human). The record is from RNAcentral. Lineage: Eukaryota; Metazoa; Chordata; Mammalia; Primates; Hominidae.